Molecule: transfer RNA, 73 nt
Filed under: Gemmatimonadota bacterium
Lineage: Bacteria; Pseudomonadati; Gemmatimonadota
Also listed under: 5 other names
Description: Gemmatimonadetes bacterium (soil metagenome) tRNA-Lys
Rfam family: tRNA
About the family: Transfer RNA (tRNA) molecules are approximately 80 nucleotides in length.
Source: RNAcentral
GGGCCGGUAGCUCAGUUGGCAGAGCAGGGGACUUUUAAUCCCAAGGUCGUUGGUUCGAUUCCAACCCGGCCCA